GCCAUGGCUCAGUGGCAGAGCAUCUGCUCGGCAUGCAGAAGGUCCCAGCUUCGAUCUCUGCCAUCUCCA
RNAcentral lists this transfer RNA (69 nucleotides) under Sphaerodactylus townsendi. RNAcentral describes it as "tRNA-Ala". Lineage: Eukaryota; Metazoa; Chordata; Lepidosauria; Squamata; Sphaerodactylidae. The record is from RNAcentral.